GACGAACGCUGGCGGCGCGCUUAACACAUGCAAGUCGAACGGAAAGGCCUGCUUUCCCUUGUUGAUUGCUUGUACUCGAGUGGCUAACGGGUGAGUAACACGUGAGUGAUUUGCCCCCAACUUGGUUAUAAGCCUGGGAGACUGGGUCUAAUUCCCGAUAGGACUGCAUGGUUGUGCCUGGGGUGGAAAACUUUCUUCUAGUGGUAGGUGAUGAGCUCGCGGCCUAUCAGCUUGUUGGUGCGGUAAUGGACUACAAAGGCGGGGACGGGUAGCCGGCCUGUGAGCGUCGACGGUCAAAUUGGGACUCAGUUAAGGCCCAGACUCGUACCAGAAGCAGGAGUGGGGAAGAUUGCACAAUGGGCGUGAGGCAGAUGCAGCGCGGCAGCGUGGGAGAUCAUGGGAUUUGGGUUGUAAACUACUUGCGAACGAGAGGAAGGCACCUGAUUGGAAGCGUGGUGACGGUAGUGGUAGAAGAAGCACCGGCUAACUACGUG
RNAcentral lists this ribosomal RNA (494 nucleotides) under uncultured bacterium. RNAcentral describes it as "partial 16S ribosomal RNA". It matches the Rfam family "Bacterial small subunit ribosomal RNA", at positions 28 to 507 of the family's 1533-position model. The record is from RNAcentral.